AGCGGCGGACGGGUGAGUAAUGCCUGGGAAUAUGCCCUGAUGUGGGGGAUAACUAUUGGAAACGAUAGCUAAUACCGCAUAAUCUCUUCGGAGCAAAGAGGGGGCCCUUCGGGCCUCUCGCGUCAGGAUUAGCCCAGGUGGGAUUAGCUUGUUGGUGAGGUAAUGGCUCACCAAGGCAACGAUCCCUAGCUGGUCUGAGAGGAUGAUCAGCCACACUGGAACUGAGACACGGUCCAGACUCCUACGGGAGGCAGCAGUGGGGAAUAUUGCACAAUGGGGGAAACCCUGAUGCAGCCAUGCCGCGUGUGUGAAGAAGGCCUUCGGGUUGUAAAGCACUUUCAGUAGGGAGGAAGGUAGUGUAGUUAACACCUGCAUUAUUUGACGUUACCUACAGAAGAAGCACCGGCUAACUCCGUGCCAGCAGCCGCGGUAAUACGGAGGGUGCGAGCGUUAAUCGGAAUUACUGGGCGUAAAGCGCAUGCAGGCGGCCUGUUAAGUCAGAUGUGAAAGCCCGGGGCUUAACCUCGGAAUUGCAUUUGAAACUGGCAGG
This 550-nucleotide ribosomal RNA is filed under the name uncultured bacterium. RNAcentral's name for it is "bacterial SSU rRNA". It matches the Rfam family "Bacterial small subunit ribosomal RNA", at positions 94 to 640 of the family's 1533-position model. The record is from RNAcentral.